CACACAACUUUCUAAGCUGACAGUGGGCGGAUGGGUGUGUUUUCUGCUUCCCCUCUCAGUCUGCUCUCUGGCAGGGUGUGGUGCUGCUCAGUUAACCCUGUUGCUUUGCUCCCCCCCCCCCCCAUGAAUACAAUGAAUUCUCAUUACUGAUACCAGGGCAGUUAGCAGGAGAAGAAAACUCGCUUGUGUCUCCAACAUUGAAUCAACAUGCUACAAAGCUGAUACAUAAACAGAAUGGACCAUGCAACCUGAUAGUCUAGGAUCAUCCUGAGCUUCUGGUUCUGAUCUUCGACUCACUAAACCAAGAGGAAACAGAAGCUGUGGUUAAGGCACAAUGACAAGGAAAGAGUUACACCGGGCUGGAAAAUGCUGAAGCAUAAGAGGAUUAAACUGCUCAAAUAAGCACUGAA
Xenopus tropicalis (tropical clawed frog) is the source of this 410-nucleotide long non-coding RNA. RefSeq lists it as uncharacterized. The transcript has 2 exons. The record is from RefSeq and is a predicted model, not a curated record. NCBI's taxonomy places the organism in Eukaryota, Metazoa, Chordata, Amphibia, Anura, Pipidae.